Molecule: long non-coding RNA, 342 nt
Filed under: Mustela putorius furo (domestic ferret)
Lineage: Eukaryota; Metazoa; Chordata; Mammalia; Carnivora; Mustelidae
Description: lncRNA (ENSMPUG00000028164.1)
Source: RNAcentral
GGGGCCUGCUAAGUGAGCCCUGCGUGGCCACUGCGGCCCCGGCCCAGGAGGCCUGGAGCACAGGGCUGCCCGCAUAGACAUGCCCACUGCCCAGGCUGACACAGGCUCCAGGAAUGCAAACAAAGGUGGUGAGCACCUGACCCACGCUGAGCCAGUCGGUGCCUUCUGCAGAGAAUUUGGAAUCAGAACCUAAAGACUUCAGGAACGGCCCACUGUCUUCACAUCUGGAGGCCACGACAGGCUGGGAGCUGUUUUCCACUGCUGACCCGAGUUGCAGACAGAGCCAGCACCUGGCGGCAAGGUAGGAGGGAGGGGGCCUGGCUGGGCACCCAUGGGACUCUG